GGCGGUCGGCCGAUAUCUUGACAUGCCUUAUGCUGGAUAGUGCAAACCUUGGUUUCAAACGAUUCUCUACAGAUAGAGGGCUGGGACCCCAUGUUGAACCCAAACCGGUUGUUUUUGAAACGCACACACACACACACACUCCUGCUGCUCCGUCACACCGUCACACGCACACUCAUGCACGCACCCUGAUUUUACCAUGUCUUUUUCUUCGGGACAGAGCUGGGUGAUGAUGUGAAAUACCUUUUCACAUAGUUACGGAUAUUACAGUUGUCUGCGCCAGACCCUAGCGUGAGAGAAAAGACCGCUCCCCCCCUUUAGUUAAAUGGAUAUAGGGUCCUGUUAGCCCUGACCAUUAUCCGUUUCCAAUUCCCCAUCGCAAAGUCUUUUGCCCGCUCC
This is a long non-coding RNA of Oncorhynchus mykiss (rainbow trout), 396 nucleotides long. RefSeq lists it as uncharacterized. Lineage: Eukaryota; Metazoa; Chordata; Actinopteri; Salmoniformes; Salmonidae. The record is from RefSeq and is a predicted model, not a curated record.